Molecule: ribosomal RNA, 781 nt
Rfam family: Bacterial small subunit ribosomal RNA
GAGCGGUAACAGAUCUAGCUUGCUAGAUGCUGACGAGCGGCGGACGGGUGAGUAAUGCAUAGGAAUCUGCCCGGUAGUGGGGGAUAACCUGGGGAAACCCAGGCUAAUACCGCAUACGUCCUACGGGAGAAAGGGGGCUCCGGCUCCCGCUAUUGGAUGAGCCUAUGUCGGAUUAGCUAGUUGGUGAGGUAAUGGCUCACCAAGGCAACGAUCCGUAGCUGGUCUGAGAGGAUGAUCAGCCACAUCGGGACUGAGACACGGCCCGAACUCCUACGGGAGGCAGCAGUGGGGAAUAUUGGACAAUGGGGGCAACCCUGAUCCAGCCAUGCCGCGUGUGUGAAGAAGGCCCUCGGGUUGUAAAGCACUUUCAGCGAGGAAGAACGCCUGUUGGUUAAUACCCAUUAGGAAAGACAUCACUCGCAGAAGAAGCACCGGCUAACUCCGUGCCAGCAGCCGCGGUAAUACGGAGGGUGCAAGCGUUAAUCGGAAUUACUGGGCGUAAAGCGCGCGUAGGUGGCUUGAUAAGCCGGUUGUGAAAGCCCCGGGCUCAACCUGGGAACGGCAUCCGGAACUGUCAGGCUAGAGUGCAGGAGAGGAAGGUAGAAUUCCCGGUGUAGCGGUGAAAUGCGUAGAGAUCGGGAGGAAUACCAGUGGCGAAGGCGGCCUUCUGGACUGACACUGACACUGAGGUGCGAAAGCGUGGGUAGCAAACAGGAUUAGAUACCCUGGUAGUCCACGCCGUAAACGAUGUCGACCAGCCGUUGGGUGCCUAGAGCACUUU